RNAcentral lists this ribosomal RNA (247 nucleotides) under uncultured bacterium. RNAcentral's name for it is "partial 16S ribosomal RNA". It matches the Rfam family "Bacterial small subunit ribosomal RNA", at positions 530 to 776 of the family's 1533-position model. The record is from RNAcentral.
GGGUGCGAGCGUUGUCCGGAAUUAUUGGGCGUAAAGAGCUCGUAGGCGGUUUGUCGCGUCGGCCGUGAAAUCUCCACGCUUAACGUGGAGCGUGCGGUCGAUACGGGCAGACUUGAGUUCGGUAGGGGAGACUGGAAUUCCUGGUGUAGCGGUGAAAUGCGCAGAUAUCAGGAGGAACACCGGUGGCGAAGGCGGGUCUCUGGGCCGAUACUGACGCUGAGGAGCGAAAGCGUGGGGAGCGAACAGG